AACCCAUGGUAAGAACAUUAUCUCUGUAAUUCUUUGAACUACUCCCAAACUUCAUAUAAUGUCUCAACAUCUCUCUGAUAGAAAGUAUUUAUCUCAUUUCUCAAUUU
Molecule: small nucleolar RNA, 107 nt
Organism: Mangifera indica (mango)
Lineage: Eukaryota; Viridiplantae; Streptophyta; Magnoliopsida; Sapindales; Anacardiaceae
Source: RefSeq, a predicted model, not a curated record